CACCAGGCGCUCGCCAUCGUGCCCCACCUCCAGGCCUGGCUCCAGAGUGGGGCCCCGGUGACAAGCGUCUGGGCGAGGGAAAACCAAGUCCAAAGUUUGUGUCCAUCAUAAGGGGUCUUCGGUGCCUGUCACUCCAUCCGUCUGUCUCGCUUUCAUCGAGUUCACCCCCACGUCCCCUUCCCCUCUGCAGGGCCUCUCGGGUCAGAGGGACGUUGAUCCGGUGCGCGCAGGCUGUGGGAACCACGACACGCUCGCAAAGCCCCGAGCAAAUGCUUCGGAUGCCCCAUGUCCAUAAAAGGUCGCAGUGAAACAUGUGAACGACUGAAAAAGACAAACAGCGAAAGUUUUCCUCCUUUAGAGGAAUGCAUGACGUGUCCAUCAGGAGAUGUUUCCGCUGAAUCCAGUAACGCAUCACGAUCAUCUGCCUCAGGUGUUCGGGUUGAACCUCUUGCCCUGCCGUAGACACGUCUGGGGACUCUCUCUGCACUGACACAGACACGUGUCGGGAUUUAGG
This is a non-coding RNA of Poecilia reticulata (guppy), 514 nucleotides long. Lineage: Eukaryota; Metazoa; Chordata; Actinopteri; Cyprinodontiformes; Poeciliidae. The record is from RefSeq and is a predicted model, not a curated record.